GACAAAAUGCCUGAUCAAAGGGUCAUCUUGAUAGGGUGAAUAACGUGUUUACACUUUUGUUA
Molecule: transfer RNA, 62 nt
Filed under: Baetis sp. PC-2010
Lineage: Eukaryota; Metazoa; Arthropoda; Insecta; Ephemeroptera; Baetidae
Description: tRNA-Ile
Source: RNAcentral